AUGACACAACUAAACCAGUAUCAUGAGGCUUGCCGGCAGCAUGAGUUGGAGUAUCUUGAGCAAGAACAUGAUGACUGUGUUUAUGAGAUCAAGCAUGACCUCAAUCUCCAGAUAGAGGACAGGGAUCGUUGGCUCGAAAUAGAAGAACGCAAGAGUAAGAAACUGAAGCUGGAGCGUGAUCAGUUGGAGGAGUUGACCAACAAGCAGGAGAGCAAAAUCAUGGAGCUAAUGACAGAGAACAGAAGCCUCCGUGAGAAGCUGGCGGAAAAGCUACGGGCUGGCGGAAAAGCUACAGGCGCAUGA
Molecule: ribosomal RNA, 303 nt
Filed under: Triticum aestivum (bread wheat)
Lineage: Eukaryota; Viridiplantae; Streptophyta; Magnoliopsida; Poales; Poaceae
Description: partial small subunit ribosomal RNA
Source: RNAcentral